AAAGUCGCGGUUCCGGUGUUCAGGAUGCCAGGGAUGAUGGGAAGCCUGUUCUUGUUUAUCGGUUUGUACGGAACUUCACCCGCGGUAGAGUACGGCCUGAGAAUUUUGUUCCAGCACCGGUGUGAGGAAAACAUCUGAGCCCAUGAAUUGCCAGACCCUGGAUACCUGAGACACAUCCACUUGCUUCUCAGGUUUGGAGUGCAUAAUGAGGAGAAAUAAAAACAGAAAGAUCUCCAGAAAGAAGCCAUGGUAAGAUUCAAGGUUUCACAGUCCAAGCUAAUGCCUGUGGACACUUGACCAAGUGAUCUGAGAAAAUUGGAUUUCUGGCAAAACAAGUGUACCUAGACUCAGGCAAGGGUGGAGAACAGAGGGCGACUAGAUUAAAUGGAAAGAAUGCCCAGGCAUCCCAUUGCCUCCCUUUGACGUUCCAGAACUUCAUCAAGACAGUGAUGAGCUACAUGUACACCUGGAGGAGAGUUCAGGAUCAAGCUCAGAAGCGCACAGCUGCCAGCAAGCAGUCUACUACUGAACUGCACCAUCUCUCCAGCCUGUGCUUACUCUUGAAUAGCCCCAAAGUAGUCAAUGGUAUGGCAAAAUAAACCUCCAUUUCAUUUAGAUUUUUAUAGUAUUUUUUGCCACUUAAAUUAUUUUAUGUAGUUGAGUAUGAUUUUUUUUCCCCCUAAGGAAUUCUAUGUAUCUCAAUUUCAAGAGUCUUCAGCCUUUAUGUUAUACAUAAUUUCCUAUAGAUUUCAAAGUUGCUUUAAUAAAAAGUUUAAUGUUAAAACAGUUGUGGAUUUACAUGUAGUUAUGUGACUACAUUAUCCUUUACCUUUUUUCUCUAAUGAAAUUAUCUUCCAAAAAUAUAUCACAAGCAGAGAAUGGACAUUAAUAUAAUAGAUUAAUCUGAUUCCUGUUUUUUUCCUAGAUAUAGGUACACUCAUAUAUGUGUAUGAGUUUAAUUUUAUGUAAUUUUAUUACGUGUAGGUUUGUGAAUCCAUGACCAUCAUAUUUGGGAUACAGAAUGUUUAGUACCACAAAGAUUCCUUAAAUGUUGUCCUUUUAUAAUCAUACCACCUCUACCUCCUUAUACUCCAUGCCUCUCCUUAGCACUUAAAGAACAUAAAUCUCUCAUAUAUCUCUCUAAUUUUGUACUAUCAAAAAUGUUACAUUACUACCUCUGGUCCACACCCCACAGCUGCCCAGCAUGGUCCCUCAAGCCUGAACCCAGCUUACUUUGCCUUUGGUUGCUCAUGUCACAACCAUUCCAUUCCUUUGCUUCAAGGUGUGGGCCCUGAAAGGAACUGUAUACCUGCUCUGCCCAUGACUGCUUCUGCCUCUACCUCAAUGUACUGUAACUGUUUAACAAGGUUGCUCUGGCUCAGGCUGAGAAAUUGACUCCACCCUUACCCUGACGCCUGGCAUGUCCACAUGUGGUCCUGUGUAGUCAGCAACCCCAGGUAUGGUAAGGAACCUUCCCAUCCCAAGUCCUCAGCCAUUGACCUCUGGCCUCAACCCAAACUCGGUCAGAGACCUUGUCUUUACCCGGAGCCGAGACCCCUUAGCAUGGGUUCUGCCACCUCAGAGGUCUCCCCAAGCUCUAUCGCCUACAAUCCAACUUUGCAUUCUGACCUGGUGGGUAAAAAACCCAUACCAAAAUACAGCUGACAAUGUAAAUCCAGAUGCCCAGGUUACAGCACAAAAACUAGAUAAACUAAACCAAUAUCUAAUUGUUCUCUAAAUCACCAAUCUCAUAAUAAUGUUCCCUAAAGAGAACAAGUUACAAGAAAUUAAAGACACGGAAUUCCAAAGGACAAUACAUGUUCAACAAGCUCAAACCAUUCAGAGAGGGCACAGAAUGAAAUUAAAGACAACAGGAAUAAAAUUCUGGGAGUCCAAGUAUACAAAAACACAGCUCAGCAACACAUGGAACAGCAAGACUGUAAAUUCUCAGUCCAGCUAUGGAUAAUUUAGGAUCCUUUGUAGGUGAGUCAGUCGGUUGGUUGUGGGUCAUAGGUGGUGGUUGUGUCACUUACAUUGCUCUGUCGUUUUAUACAUUUGUUGAAGUGGAUUCCUUUUGACUUUCCUCCUCUUCUGAGCCUAUUAUAUUCUAUUUGCUGCCUAGAGGACCAUUUGGAUGAAGCUGAGCUUAGGGAACUGGUGAAACCUAGUGAUAAUUAUUGAAUGGGUUGCUGAAAUCUCAUCUUGGCUAUGUGUCAACAGGACCAAAACCUUAGUCUUUCCUUAGAUUAUAUGAACAUGCUGGAAAUGGGCUAUCAAAUUUCAGACCUAGUAAAGUCUGUCUACUAUCUGGAGCUUAGAAAAUCUUAAUGAAAUGGAUAUUUUUCUAGAUACCACUUACCAAAGUUAAAUCAACAAAUAUUUAAAUAGUCCCAUAACCCCUAAAGAAAUAGAAGCAGUCAUUUAAACUCUCCCAACCAAAAACAAAACAAAACAAAACAAAACAAAACAGGGACAGAUGGUUUUAGUACAAAAUUCUACUAGACUUUCAAAGAAGAACUAAUUAAUGCUAAUUUUUAGUUGCAUUUUAAAAAUAAUAAUAAAGCAUAUUCUUUUAAGGUCUAUAAAGAAUAGGGGCUCACAGAGACUAAACUGCCCACUAGGGAGCCUGCAUGGGCCUAACCCAGGCUUCCUGCACCUACCUUAUGGUUGCAUAGUUGGUGUUCUUGUGGGACUCCUAACAGUGGGAGCAAGGGCUGUCUCUGACUCUGUUGCCCACCUUUGGGACCCUUUCCUCCUACUGAGUUGUCUUGUCUAGCCUUAAUAGGAGAUGCACUUAGUCUUACUGCAACCUGAUAUGCAAUGGCUGGUUGAUAUCCAUCAAGGCUGGCUAUUUUCUGAAGAGAAAUGGAGAAGGAGUUGAUGGCAGGAGGAGUGAGAUUAAGGAGAGGAGGGAGGGGAAACUGGAGUCAGGAUAUAAAAUAAAUAAACAAAAUGACAAUAAGUCUUAUAUUUUAAAAUACUAAAAUUAAAUUUUCAAGAUCUCAAAUAAUUUUACUGUAUACCUUUGGAAAAAUAAGGCUAAUCCAAACCCCAAGACACUAGAUGGGGAGAAAUAAUUAAGAGCAAGGAAGAAAUUAAUGAAAUAGAAAUGAAAAAAUACAAAGAAUCAGUGAAGACUUGGUUCUUUGAAAAGAUAAAUAAGAUUGACAAACCUCUAGCCAAACCAAAAACAAGAGAAAGAAGACCCAAACUAAGACAAUUGGAGUCAGAAGGGAGACAUUACACAGGCUGAGAUGGUUCUAUUUAGAAACAUACAUGUAUAUAGAGUAUGAGUGUUAACAGUUAAUUUUUUUUAUUAGAUAUUUUCUUUAUUUACAUUUCAAAUGUUAUUCCCUUUCCUGGUUUCCCCUCCGAAAAUCUGCUAUCCUCUCCCUGCCCUGCUCCCCAACUCAUCCACUCCUGCUUCCUGGCCCUGGCAUUCCUCUAUACUGGGGCAUAGAGUCUUCACAGGACCAAGGCCUCUCCUCCCAUUGAUGACCAACUAGACCAUCCCCUGCUACAUAUGCAGCUAGAGCCAUGAUUCCCUCCAUGUGUACUCUUUGAUUGGUGGUUUAGUCCCAGGGAGCUCUAGGGUUACUGGUUAGUUCUUAUUGAACAACAGUUAAUUUAGAAGAGGCCAUGAAUUUAAAAGAAAGUAAGGAGGGAUAGAGUUCUGUAGAGUUUGAUGGUAGGAAAAGGAAGGAGGAAAUGAUACAAUUAUCAAAAAAAAUUU
RNAcentral lists this long non-coding RNA (3733 nucleotides) under Mus musculus (house mouse). RNAcentral describes it as "RIKEN cDNA 5530601H04 gene". Lineage: Eukaryota; Metazoa; Chordata; Mammalia; Rodentia; Muridae. The record is from RNAcentral.